AACAAACGCGCGUUGAACUCGUUGUUGGACGAAUUGAAUUAAUCGGUUGAGCUAAAGAUUGCAGUGUUUAAACGUUUGUUUCAGGCUGUUGCUUUAAAUGCCAUGGCGAUAUUCAUAAAAUAGGAGAGUAGCGAUGUUAACUUCUUACCUAAAACGCUGUGAUAAAACAAUUGCAUCAGUGAACGUUCUCCAGUUCGAUUGUACUGUGUCUUGCCGGCGGCAUCAUGAGCUCGCUCUUCGAACGCGUGCUCAAUUUCCUUCAGCGUCGACUGCCUUGUGUCAUGGCCGUUCAGGAACAGGAUGCGGACGUGACCGGCUUUUACGUUCGCCUCUCUGGCGACUUGGAGCCAGAGCCUCCCGAGCAAACUUCUUCCGGCUCAACCAGGAACGCUGCUGUACCGGCCGCUAGGACAGCACUUGCACCGGCCAAGCCUCCGCGGCUCCGAACCGUGAAACCCGUGCCGACGGCCUUCCCGUCCAACUGGAGCUCGAGACGGGGCCGGCCGGACUACGCACUCAGCGAGCCCAAAUUCUUACCGACUGACCGUGGGCCGAGGAAGAGUGCGCCUUACACCAAGGCUGCGUCGGCGAUGCAGUCGUCGCAACUUCUCGCAGAGGCUCCUGUGCAGCGUCGCCGGCUCCUGAAGCCGUCAUCGGCGAGGCCACCCACGCCGUUCGUCGAGUUGCAGCCCGCAGUGCCGUCGCAGUUUCAACACCGGGCGCUGUCGCCAGGCCUGCGGUACGAGUGGCGGGUGUGACACGCGCUGCUGACUUCAUUCCACUCGCCGCUUAGGCGAAAACUUUCAGAUUGACGACGAACCACCUGCGACGGCUUUAGUAUGCAGCGUGUUCCUGAGGGCGUGUGGAAUUAUCUGUUCGUGAUUGCCGAGAAAGAUCUUUGCGCCCGAAUGUGCAAGCUCAA
RNAcentral lists this unclassified non-coding RNA (922 nucleotides) under Dermacentor andersoni. Its description in RNAcentral is "uncharacterized LOC126542988". The record is from RNAcentral. Lineage: Eukaryota; Metazoa; Arthropoda; Arachnida; Ixodida; Ixodidae.